UUUAUCUAUACCAAGAAUCAAACGUCUGCGGUUUAGGGGUGAAUUUCAAAAGUAACAGUUUCUAGAAAAGUUAUUAAGAAUAUAGCACUAUAAUGUCGGUAAUGUAGUAAGUAGGACUAGAUAGUGAAAAGACAACAAACUCCACUACCCCAGUUAAAGGGGAAGAGAGAGAGAGCAAAGUUGGGAUUAAUAUAGUUAAAUAGGAAAUAUACAGAAUAUCACUUUUUUUUU
Molecule: small RNA, 231 nt
Filed under: Arabidopsis thaliana (thale cress)
Lineage: Eukaryota; Viridiplantae; Streptophyta; Magnoliopsida; Brassicales; Brassicaceae
Description: ATSL096970
Source: RNAcentral